CUUGUAGCGUAAUGGAUAACGCAUCGGACUUCUAACUAUGAUAUCCGGGGAUUGUGGGUUCGAGUCCCGCCAA
Molecule: transfer RNA, 73 nt
Filed under: Rhodomonas sp. CCMP768
Lineage: Eukaryota; Cryptophyceae; Pyrenomonadales; Pyrenomonadaceae
Rfam family: tRNA
About the family: Transfer RNA (tRNA) molecules are approximately 80 nucleotides in length. Their secondary structure includes four short double-helical elements and three loops (D, anti-codon, and T loops).
Source: RNAcentral